Molecule: long non-coding RNA, 1101 nt
Organism: Ictalurus punctatus (channel catfish)
Lineage: Eukaryota; Metazoa; Chordata; Actinopteri; Siluriformes; Ictaluridae
Exons: 2
Source: RefSeq, a predicted model, not a curated record
CUUUUUUUGGACCAUUUACAGACAUGAAAACCUGAUAGGGGUAUAGCUAAACCUGUGAGUGUUUCUCUGUGCUAUUAAAUAAAUCCCAAGGCAUUAAGACAGAGAAUAUUACAGGGUGUGGUCAUGCAGGAGUGUGUUUUGGAGUGUUUUCAGUGACCUGUGAAGUUCUGAAGCUACUCCUGAAGUGAUCGUUCUGUUCGUUCUACACAAAGUGUUAAUGUGUUUAUUGAGAACCAAUUGAGUCAUUUGUUAGAGUCAUUUUUUUUAUAUUAAAACCUCAUUACACUCAUUUUAAAAUGUUAUAUAAAAAUGAAGCAUGAUCAUACAUGAUCAUACAUUACAUAAAACAUUUUUUUAUUAAAUGUCUGCAAGCAUGAGCAUGAUAUUUCUGGUCAUAAGUACAGACUGGAGUGGAAUCAGCAUGUUACCUGCAUGUAAUGUAACGUCUACCUGAGGGUGUACAAACUUCUAAACACAGAUAGAAGUCCAGUCCAGUGAAGAACUUCCUACAACAGGCUUGAUAGAAUAAUUACUGACAGUGAAUCAUUACAUUAUAAUAAACACCACACAUUUCUUUACAAUAUAAAUGUAAAAGUAUGUUUUACACACUGACCCAUGCUGAUUCACAAAAAUAAAAUCGAACCAACACAUCUGUUUGCUCAGUGCGUUACUAACACUUCAAAUGAGCUCAGUUAUAAGUUUAAACCUUUGUUUAAUUGUUGUUUGAUUUGAUAAAGAAUUCUCACAUGGUGUAAAUAAACUUCACAGGAAAGCUGAAACACGGUUAUUUUAAUCUGUUCAUCUGUGUGGUGUGUUUUAUCUGGGUCAGAGCUCCUGUAGAUCUUUUUAUUUCGAGGUCUUCAUGACACAACAACAGUUCAGUUCAGGAAAAACAGAGAAAUGUAAAUACAGACAUUAAAGUGCCACUUCACUAGUGUCGUUAUUGAUUAUGAGCGUUUGAUCUAACACACAUAAAACACAAGUCCUGUAACAAUCACAGUCAGAACUGUUCUCUGUUUUAGUAAUAAUGCAAAAAUCACAUGGAAUUAUGUAAAGCAUUUCUCAAAGCUUAUUCAAAUCCACGGUAAACACGCAUAACAA